RNAcentral lists this long non-coding RNA (2370 nucleotides) under Coffea arabica (coffee). Its description in RNAcentral is "long non-coding RNA (CARA_LNC000548)". The record is from RNAcentral. Lineage: Eukaryota; Viridiplantae; Streptophyta; Magnoliopsida; Gentianales; Rubiaceae.
AGAACUGGUUUGAUAUUUGAUGUGACAGAGGAGUUUGAAUUGAGCUCCAGAUUUGUUGAAUCCACACUUUCUUAUGGUAAGUGACCUAUUAUUUUAUGUCUUUAUUUUUACCCUUGGCAUCAAUCUCCAGUUUUUCAGUUGUUUCUAUGGUUUUGGUUUGUGUUGUAUUAUGGGUUUUUAUGUCUGGUUGUAGUAUUGUCCAAAUCUGUUUUGAUUGAUAUUGAAUUAGUAAUGUCUUUAAGAUAAAUAUGCCUCUUUAAUGCUGUUAUGCAAGUCAUCCUUGUACUAAUUUCUUUGUAAUUUCAAAUACAGGUUGUCUUGGGACAUUGUUGGCUGCUUUGGUUCCUGUUCUAGGCUUUAAUGCCGUCAUGACAUCUGAAAAUUUUGCUUCAUUUUUGGUUAGUUCCAAUGGGCUGGUUUUCCUGCCAUUCUUGCUUUCUCAUUCGCAAUUACUGUAGCCAGGGAUUCGCUAUUACUUAUUUUAUGCUCCUCAAUCUUUUCAAAUUUAUGCCUUAUGUUGCUCUUAAUCUCUAAUUUUACUUUUCCAUUCCUGGGCAUGUACAGGUGUUUAUUAUUAUUCAUGUUGUAGCUCUUGUUUACUAUAUAUAUUAAGGGGAUUCUGUCACCAAGAAUGUUAAAAGUGGUUGUUAUGCUUGUGUUUUCAGUUGGCCUGUAAGUGCCUUUACUUGUAGUUUGUACAGAAAUUUGCUUGUUGUUAUAGUGUGUAAGUAGUAGCUUAGAGUUUCAUAAAAUUCUGAAUGACAUAUUUUUUUGCAAAUUUAACUCCAAAUACUACAAUAUAAUCUGUGAGUGCUUUCUAAGAAGUUCACAAAAACAUUGAGAUGGAAGCAACACUUGAAAAUUUGGUUGCACUUUUUGGUCCUUAUGCUGGAUUUCCAUGUUGUUCUUUAGCUUCCUGGUUGAGCUCUUCACUGUUUACAGACGAUUUUUCAUGUAGGUUCAUUGUGUUUGGGCAGCAGCAGAAGCUUGUUCAGCACCCUCCAUAGUGCUAACAUGUCAAUCUCCUGAUGGCCUUCAUGUUUUUGAUGACUUCAGAGAGGCCUAUGCAUGGUUGAGCCAUAACACAGAUGUAGAUCAUAAAGUGAGUUGUCAUUCUUUCCACAAUAUAUAUCUUCACAAAUUUUAGUAAUUUUUGUUGCACCCAGUCUAUAGAAUCCACACAAACCAAAGCCAUGAAUAGAAAUUCAAAUGGAAAUAUGAACCAGUGCCACAAAGCAAGCUGAAUGAAGUUAGCUAUUCAAAGAAAGAGAAGACCUUUUGCACAUAAGGUUGAAAUCUGCAAUUGGCAAUGCUGUUAUAUUGGAUCUCUGUUUUCCUCUUGAAGUAUAAACCUUUCAAUAAGUAAGGGUUUUGAUGUAUGCUUGGUGAAUUGGAACUAGUAUCUUAGUGCGACCUUAAGCACUUGAGGAUGAUUUAUUGGAAAAACAAUUGGUCAAGUUAAAUGGAGUUUCUGGAAAUAGUUGAUAAUAUUGGAUUCUUUUGUACAGAACAGAGUGUUAGCUUGUAUUGAGUGCACUAACGAAGCACAUGUACAUUCUUAUUUUGUUAAGGAAAAUUGUUCAGGUUAUUAUAUGAAAACAAAAGCAUAGACAUUGCAUGAUUUUCAAAGCAUAGGCAAACUGGAAAAAGCAUCUCAAAAGGCACAUGUUUAGUAAUACAUAGUGUUCUUGUAGACAUUGCAUGUUUAGUAAUACAUAGUUUGCAUGUUGAGUAAUACGUAGUGCACAUAUUUAGACAUUGCAUGCUUAGUAAUACAUAGUGCUCUUGUAGUCACUUUGCUAAAGUUCUUUUCAUGCACCUUUUUUUCUAGUAAGUUGUUAAGCAAGUGUUUUAGUUUUGUAUAUCAGGACAUCUGCUCACAAGGUUGGCAGAAAAGGGUUUUUCAUAUCAUAUAACAUCAAACCCAAUUGAAAGAUCUAUUUUGUGGAUCCAGAGCAAUUGGUGCAGGUAAUUUAGGUAUAUGUCUUUACAGUGUUUUUCUAAUGGGACAAUUUUAUAUGCUUCAUAUGUCACUUACACAGGUGCAUGCAGUUAGAUUUUAGAGUUUCCUGCUUUAGUUACACAGAUGCAAGAUAAAAAAAAAAAUUUCCUUCUCAAGCAAUGAUUGAGAUGUAUUAUGCUGAUAUUCCAAUGUCCAAUUUUCUUUCAAUGCAGUAUAGUGCUGUUAAAUGCUCACGAGGAAAUGAACAAUAGCUUGGGUUUUGGAUAUGCUCAUGAAGAUGGCUUCAUUUUGACAUAGAUUGCUACUCUAGUUUAUGUUUUUGUUUAGAGAUCUAGUACUCUAUUUUUAUGAUGGAUAAUGGUUAUUACUAUUUGAGCUGAUGUGGGCUCAAUACUUUAACUUUUUGG